RNAcentral lists this ribosomal RNA (497 nucleotides) under uncultured bacterium. Its description in RNAcentral is "partial 16S ribosomal RNA". It matches the Rfam family "Bacterial small subunit ribosomal RNA", at positions 28 to 507 of the family's 1533-position model. The record is from RNAcentral.
GAUGAACGCUGGCGGCGUGCCUAAUACAUGCAAGUCGAGCGGACGGACGAGAAGCUUGCUUCUCUGAUGUUAGCGGAGGACGGGUGAGUCACACGUGGAUACCCUACCUAUAAGACUGGGAUAACUUCGGGAAACCGGCGCUAAUACCGGAUAAUCUUCUGAACCGCAUGGUUCAAAAGUGAGAUACGGUCUUGCUGUCACUUCUCGCUGGAUCUGCGCUGCAUUAGCUAGUUGGUAAGGUAACGGCCUACCAAGGCAACGAUGCAUAUCCGACCUGUGAGGGUGAUAGCCGACAUGAGAACGUAACCACGGUCCAGACGCCUGCGGGAGGGAGCAGUAUGGAAUGUGCCGCAAUGGUCGAAAGCCUGACGGAGUAACGGCGCGCGAGUUAUGGAGGCGCUCGGAUCGGAAUACUCUGUUAUUAGGGAAGAACAGAUGUGUAAUGAGCUGUGCACAGCGUGACGGUAACGGAUCAGGAAGCCACGGCUAACUACGUG